Non-coding RNA from Lasiosphaeria miniovina, 90 nucleotides. The record is from the annotation of a RefSeq genome assembly. Lineage: Eukaryota; Fungi; Ascomycota; Sordariomycetes; Sordariales; Lasiosphaeriaceae.
GGGUACAUGGUCUAGUGGUAUGAUUUUCGCUUCGCAUUGACGUAGAUGCGCUACUGUGAAAGGUCCCCGGUUCGAUCCCGGGUGUAUCCA